This 1199-nucleotide ribosomal RNA is filed under the name Plectoderini sp. SX-2018. RNAcentral's name for it is "large subunit ribosomal RNA". The stretch from base 979 to 1136 matches the Rfam family "Archaeal large subunit ribosomal RNA", at positions 2542 to 2701 of the family's 2987-position model. The record is from RNAcentral. Lineage: Eukaryota; Metazoa; Arthropoda; Insecta; Hemiptera; Achilidae.
UUUUUUUUUUUUAUAUUUAUUUUUAGUUAAAAUUUUUUGUAGGUUUAUUUUUUUUUUUAUUUAAUUAUUUUUUUUUAGUUUAAUAGUACUGUGAUGGAUACUUUUUUAUAUUUAUUAAAGUAAAAUUUUUUUUUGUACCUUUUGUAUCAGGGUUAAUUAAAUUUAGGGGAUUUAUUUUUUUUUCUCGAAUUUUUAAUAUUUACUUUUAUUUGUAUUUUAUUGUUGUAAAAUUAUUUAUUAAUUAUUGGUGGUUUUGAUAUGAAAUUCAAUUAAGGUUAUUUCUGGUUUUUGAAGAAUUUAAUUUAAUUAAGGGUUUAUAUUUGUUAUUUUAUUAUAUUUUUUCAUUUUUAUUCCUAAAUUUAGGGGGGAUAAGCUCUUUAUAUAUAUAUAAUUUUUUUGUUUUUUUAUUUUUGUAGGAUUAGAAUCUUUUAUCUUAAGUUCGUUAAAGAUUUUUUAGAAAAUUUUAUUUUAUUUAUUUUUUUAUUUAAGUUUUUUAAUUAUUUUAUUUUAUUAAAAUAAUGGUUGAAUUAGUAAUUUAAAAUAUUUUUUUUAUGAAUUAGGCAAUUUAUUUCUCGCUUGUUUAACAAAAACAUGUUUUUUUGUUAUAAAUUUAAGAUUGGCCCUGCUCAAUGAAUUUUAAAUAGCCGCGGUAAUUUAACUGUGCAAAGGUAGCAUAAUAAUUAGUCUUUUAAUUGAGGUCUGGAAUGAAUGGGUUAACGAGGAAAUAACUUUAUUAAAUAUAUUUUGUUUAAUUUAAUUUUUAAGUCAAAAAGCUUAAUUAAUUGAUUGGGACGAUAAGACCCUAUAGAUCUUUAUUUUUUAUUUAAAGUUUAUAAAUUUGGUUGAUUAUUAAUUUUGUUUUAAAUUAAAAAAUUUUGCUGGGGUGGUUUUUAAAAAUUUUAACUUUAUAUUUUUUUUACUUUAAUUUUAGAAUAUUUUGAUCCUUAAUUUUGGAUUUUAAGAUUAAGAUACCUUAGGGAUAACAGCGUUAUAUAUUUGGAGAGUUCUUAUUGAUAAAUAUGUUUGCGACCUCGAUGUUGGAUUAAAUUUAAUUGUGGGGUAGGUUUUACAAUGUUAGGUCUGUUCGACCUUUAAAAUUUUACAUGAUCUGAGUUCAAAUCGGCGUAAGCCAGAUUGGUUUCUAUCUUUUCAUUAAUUAGUCUAAUUAGUACGAAAGGACUUUUAGUAUUGUAAUAGUU